Molecule: long non-coding RNA, 1830 nt
Organism: Carassius gibelio (silver crucian carp)
Lineage: Eukaryota; Metazoa; Chordata; Actinopteri; Cypriniformes; Cyprinidae
Exons: 3
Source: RefSeq, a predicted model, not a curated record
UGUAUGUGGAUGGUAUUAGACACUUCCUGUUUCUCAUUUCUCGCCAUAAUUUCAACGCCUCGCCACGAGCAAACCGUUUGAGAUAUCAAAAAUCCCCUGGCAAUUUUUCAUCCCCAUUGUCUUGAGAUCAUGUUGACCGAGUUUGGCGGCAAUCGAGUAAAAAACCUAUGACAAGUAUUUCAAAUUCCAGAGCAUAUGCUUUUUACAUAACUCUAAAUAGCUGACUUCCUGUUGGGCGGAGCCUAUAACAUGCAAUACGCAAGUUGUUCGGCACGAUGAGAUCUAAAUGUGUACUGAGUUUCAUAUUAAUAUGUGCAAGUAUGUGUGAGCUAUACAUCAACAUUUAUGACUGUGUUCCAGGGGGCGCUGUAGAGCCCCUGUGCCACGCCCAGGUCCCAGCCUCUGCAGGCUCCUUAAGGCCACAGAUUCCAAAGUGUGCGCAAACUUUCAAGAGUUUUUGAGUAUGUUAAGGACCCCAAAAGCCCCCACAACUUUGACGACAAAUAUGAAUAAUAAACCCCAAAUAGCCAACUUCCUGUUGGGCGGAGCCUAUGAUAUGCAAUUCGAAAGUUGUUUGUAUUGAUGAGUUCUAUAUGUUUACCGAGUUUUGUGCGUCUACGUGCAAGUAUGUAUGAUAUAUGGCCCUCAGCAUUCCAGGGGGCGCUGUAGAGCCCCUGUGCCACGCCCGUGUAUCAGUCUCUGCCCGGCCCUAAUGGCCGCAGGUUCCAAUGUGUGUGCCAAUUUUCAAGACUUUUUAAGCAUGUUAAGGGCCCCAAAAGCCCCCGAAACCUUGAAGAAAAAUAAUAAUAAAUAUAGCUGCAAGCAGCGAUGGCGGGCUCAAGCCACCAAUGCCAUCGCCACCCCGGUGGCAUCAGGUAAACUGUGCCCAGCGGGCACAUGCAUUCACAUUAUCCCUCUGGCAGUGAGGUUUUAAAGGAUAAGGCAGUUAAAGGGUUAAUCAGAAUCAACAAGACUUUAAAAUCACAUUCACAGAACAAUAUAUAUAACUUUAGUGACACUUUACAAUAAUAUUUCAUUUCUAAACAUUAUGUUAACAUGAACAAUAUUUAUAUAGCAUUCAUUCAUGUCAGUUAAUAUUCCAAACUUAAACAUUAAAACAUUGUUUUUUUGUGAUUUUUUUCCAAGCACAUUUUACCAAUUCCAAACCAUAUCAAUCUUAAUAACUACCAUUAUUUUUUAUUUAAUCAUUUAUGAGUGCUAUACAAUAGUCCAGGAAAGCUGGAAGAGAAAAACUCCUUAUAUUCAUGUGUGCAGAAUUAUUGGGCAUGUUUUCUUUUACAGAUGAAAUGCAAUAAAAAAGAGUUUUAACUCAAACUGUUUUAACUCAAAGUCGAAAAUUAUGAAAUACCCAUGAGAAAUAUCAAACACAAAUGCAAUACAGAAAUGGAUAAGUUAAGACUUGACCAUUGUAGAAAAAUGCUGACUGGGUCAUGAGGUCAGAAAAGAAGAAGAAAAAAAAAAACAGGUCAAGAAGAACUGACAAAAAUAAUUGCAAAAUAAUUAGGAAUUAAUGUGAAGAUUAAUUUUUAGUCAAUUCUGCAAGACAGACUUUCAGGAAAGGAGGUGGAAUAAAAAUGAGCUCCUAAAUCUUAAUCCCGGAUUCUGGAAGAUAUAUUCCUCAAACCAUCGGACAAGAGGAGGUGGUGCUGGUCCUUCACGAGUCACUGUAAUCGGUUCAGAAAGCCUAUAUAUAGUCUUAUAUAUAUAUAUAUAUAUAUAAGUCUUAAUAUAUAGUAUUUCACAAUACUUCAUGGUAUUCUAAUUAAAUAAUUUUUUGGAAUCUUAGAUCUCUCAGAACCUGACACAUUG